RNAcentral lists this ribosomal RNA (179 nucleotides) under uncultured bacterium. RNAcentral's name for it is "partial 16S ribosomal RNA". It matches the Rfam family "Bacterial small subunit ribosomal RNA", at positions 1322 to 1500 of the family's 1533-position model. The record is from RNAcentral.
GAAGUUGGAGUUGCUAGUAAUCGCGGAUCAGCAUGCCGCGGUGAAUACGUUCCCGGGCCUUGUACACACCGCCCGUCACACCAUGGGAGUUGGGAGCGCCCGAAGCCGGUGAGGUAACCGAGAGGAGCCAGCCGUCGAAGGUGAGACCAAUGACUGGGGUGAAGUCGUAACAAGGUACC